CAGCGCGACAAGUGUCGACAUCGAGGAACACCUGUACAAGCUUGCAAAGGAAAUGGGUAUAACGGUCAUCACAUCUUCUCAACGGCCCGCAUUAAUUCCAUUCCAUUCCAUGGAACUGAGAAUGAUUGAUGGUGAGGGUAAAUGGCAGUUAUGUUCCAUCAUCAGUGAACAUUCUUGACUAAAUACUAUGAUUUACACAAUCCAAAAGUAUUAUACCCGAUAUUGAUCAGCAGAUAAGCAAAUAAUGACAAGGCAGCUUCUGCCAUCAACUUUGGAAUUUUAUUCUGGCACCAUUUUCAGGAAUUAUAUUUAAAUUUUUUUGGAAUUUUUUGUGCUGGAAGAAGAUCCGAGUCUUGGCAUAAAUAUGGUGGCAAUGGACUCGGCUGCAGAUUCAGUUUUCAGGUGACUUUGUAAGAAAGCAUCAGGACGCUAAUGUUUAAAUAACUCUGUAUACACACUUAGGCAUGGUGUAUAGAUUAGCUAGUUGAUUUUUCUAUGGUAUUAUUAGAUUACAAUCCAUUUAUAUCUAUAGAAGAAAUAAUUUAAUUUCAUUUAUUUUUUCUCUUAUAUUAUUCUAACUCAUGUUGUAUGGGAGGUUCCCCAACCAUAUCUAUAAUGCUAUUGUAUGUAGGAG
Long non-coding RNA from Phalaenopsis equestris, 634 nucleotides. RefSeq lists it as uncharacterized. Lineage: Eukaryota; Viridiplantae; Streptophyta; Magnoliopsida; Asparagales; Orchidaceae. The transcript has 2 exons. The record is from RefSeq and is a predicted model, not a curated record.